AGAACUCAGCUUCUGGUCACUGUUAAUACAGACUUCCUGUUUGAAGUCAGAGUGUGUGUGUGUGUGUGUGUGUGUGGCCUGAUCUGCUCUUUCCUCCGGCCAGGCCUCCGAUCUGUGUCUGCCAGGCAGGAAACCACUGGCGCUGUGACAAAAUGAGCCAGAGUGAGACCUGAGGAGCAGAUGGAAGUGAAAGCAGGGCUCUGUUUGCUGGAUUUCUGAAGAGUUUUGGAAACAGCCCCAGGUUUGAAAAGAACCAUCAAAUGGAGCAGACCAGGAACAGGUACAGACCCCGGUGGACCGGCGUCCACACUCUGCUGCCAGAACAACUGCAUGAUGGGAAGCAGGCAUCCUUUUCUCUGCACUGCGUCACAUCUUUAAGUCCCAGCGUCCCACUGGGCGACGCUGCUGCUGUGAGUGACACUGGAAAUCCAACUCCAACACAAGUGGAUCAGCUGUGGACUGUAUACGCACAACGACCAAAUGAUAUCAUUUAAAAUCAAAAGUCAGGAAACUGAAAUAGAACCAACUGUAGUCACACAACACAGCUCUACUCACAGUAAUAAGUGAAAGGAGAAAGAAAAAGAAAAUUAACC
Cynoglossus semilaevis (tongue sole) is the source of this 593-nucleotide long non-coding RNA. RefSeq lists it as uncharacterized. The transcript is spliced from 3 exons. Lineage: Eukaryota; Metazoa; Chordata; Actinopteri; Pleuronectiformes; Cynoglossidae. The record is from RefSeq and is a predicted model, not a curated record.